GGGGAAUUGGUUUAGUGGUAUAAUGUUCCCUUAGCAACGUCCCCUUCAGGGCUUGUGUUUGGGAGAGGUCGCGAGUUCGAUUCUUGCAUUCUCCA
This is a transfer RNA of Glarea lozoyensis 74030, 95 nucleotides long. It matches the Rfam family "tRNA". Rfam says of the family: Transfer RNA (tRNA) molecules are approximately 80 nucleotides in length. Their secondary structure includes four short double-helical elements and three loops (D, anti-codon, and T loops). The record is from Rfam. Lineage: Eukaryota; Fungi; Ascomycota; Leotiomycetes; Helotiales; Helotiaceae.